Molecule: ribosomal RNA, 253 nt
Filed under: uncultured bacterium
Lineage: Bacteria
Description: partial 16S ribosomal RNA
Rfam family: Bacterial small subunit ribosomal RNA
Source: RNAcentral
UACGUAGGUGGCAAGCGUUGUCCGGAUUUACUGGGCGUAAAGAGCGCGCAGGCGGUCGUUCAAGUCGCGUGUGAAAGCCCCCGGCUCAACUGGGGAGGGUCACGCGAUACUGAUCGACUCGAAGGCAGGAGAGGGUAGUGGAAUUCCCGGUGUAGUGGUGGAAUGCGUAGAUAUCAGGAGGAACACCAAUUGCGAAGGCAGCUCGCUGGGACGUUACUGACGCUGAGACGCGAAAGCGUGGGGAGCAAACAGG